Pelobates cultripes (western spadefoot toad) is the source of this 84-nucleotide non-coding RNA. NCBI's taxonomy places the organism in Eukaryota, Metazoa, Chordata, Amphibia, Anura, Pelobatidae. The record is from the annotation of a GenBank genome assembly.
GGCUCUGUGGCACAAUGGAGCAUUUCAGAGUUAUAGAAAGCUGACAGCAUUUGAUGGUUGUGGGUUCAAGUCCCACCAGAGUUA